RNAcentral lists this ribosomal RNA (1428 nucleotides) under uncultured bacterium. RNAcentral's name for it is "16S ribosomal RNA". It matches the Rfam family "Bacterial small subunit ribosomal RNA". The record is from RNAcentral.
CACAUGCAAGUCGAGGGGCAGCAUGGUCUUAUCUUGCUAAGGCCGAUGGCGACCGGCGCACGGGUGAGUAACACGUAUCCAACCUGCCGUCUACUCUUGGACAGCCUUCUGAAAGGAAGAUUAAUACAAGAUGGCAUCAUGAGUCCGCAUGUUCACAUGAUUAAAGGUAUUCCGGUAGACGAUGGGGAUGCGUUCCAUUAGAUAGUAGGCGGGGUAACGGCCCACCUAGUCUUCGAUGGAUAGGGGUUCUGAGAGGAAGGUCCCCCACAUUGGAACUGAGACACGGUCCAAACUCCUACGGGAGGCAGCAGUGAGGAAUAUUGGUCAAUGGGCGAGAGCCUGAACCAGCCAAGUAGCGUGAAGGAUGACUGCCCUAUGGGUUGUAAACUUCUUUUAUAAAGGAAUAAAGUCGGGUAUGGAUACCCGUUUGCAUGUACUUUAUGAAUAAGGAUCGGCUAACUCCGUGCCAGCAGCCGCGGUAAUACGGAGGAUCCGAGCGUUAUCCGGAUUUAUUGGGUUUAAAGGGAGCGUAGAUGGAUGUUUAAGUCAGUUGUGAAAGUUUGCGGCUCAACCGUAAAAUUGCAGUUGAUACUGGAUAUCUUGAGUGCAGUUGAGGCAGGCGGAAUUCGUGGUGUAGCGGUGAAAUGCUUAGAUAUCACGAAGAACUCCGAUUGCGAAGGCAGCCUGCUAAGCUGCAACUGACAUUGAGGCUCGAAAGUGUGGGUAUCAAACAGGAUUAGAUACCCUGGUAGUCCACACGGUAAACGAUGAAUACUCGCUGUUUGCGAUAUACUGCAAGCGGCCAAGCGAAAGCGUUAAGUAUUCCACCUGGGGAGUACGCCGGCAACGGUGAAACUCAAAGGAAUUGACGGGGGCCCGCACAAGCGGAGGAACAUGUGGUUUAAUUCGAUGAUACGCGAGGAACCUUACCCGGGCUUAAAUUGCAGAUGAAUUACGGUGAAAGCCGUAAGCCGCAAGGCAUCUGUGAAGGUGCUGCAUGGUUGUCGUCAGCUCGUGCCGUGAGGUGUCGGCUUAAGUGCCAUAACGAGCGCAACCCUUGUUGUCAGUUACUAACAGGUUCCGCUGAGGACUCUGACAAGACUGCCAUCGUAAGAUGUGAGGAAGGUGGGGAUGACGUCAAAUCAGCACGGCCCUUACGUCCGGGGCUACACACGUGUUACAAUGGGGGGUACAGAGGGCCGCUACCACGCGAGUGGAUGCCAAUCCCCAAAACCUCUCUCAGUUCGGACUGGAGUCUGCAACCCGACUCCACGAAGCUGGAUUCGCUAGUAAUCGCGCAUCAGCCACGGCGCGGUGAAUACGUUCCCGGGCCUUGUACACACCGCCCGUCAAGCCAUGGGAGCCGGGGGUACCUGAAGUGCGUAACCGCGAGGAGCGCCCUAGGGUAAAACUGGUGACUGGGGCUAA